This 70-nucleotide transfer RNA is filed under the name Tetrix japonica. RNAcentral's name for it is "tRNA-Trp". The record is from RNAcentral. Lineage: Eukaryota; Metazoa; Arthropoda; Insecta; Orthoptera; Tetrigidae.
CCUAAAAUAAGGACUUAAGUUAAAUAAACUAAUAACCUUCAAAGUUAUAAAUAAAAUAUUAAUUUUAGGC